CACCAACAGUUAUAUAAAUGGAAAUGAGAGUAAUUAUGAUGUCAUAUUUUGCUAACAUAAUUAGGAACAGUCAAAACUCUGGGCCAGAAAGUUAAAUGCCAAUGAAGAGAAAAACCACUACACCUCUUGGAAAUUAGUUCACUCCUGUUGCAGACAAUCAAAUGGAAAAGGUAGCAAACUACAGUGAGUCCCCUACAUAUGAACCUUUACGUUUUGAACUUUCCAAGAUGCUAAGGCGAGUUCUCACGCCCAGUCACGUAAAUUAAUUCAUACGCCUUGCACUCAUUGUUUCAUGCAGGCAUCCUCUACAAGUGGCCGUGCGUUUGUGUUUUUUACUGUGCAGUAUGGUGCAGAGUAUGACAGUACAGUAUUUUUAUUUCAAGCCCAGGAUGUCCAGAAGCAAAUGUAAAAGCAGCGGUGAUAUAGCUGGAACUACUGUAUUGUUCAAGAUGGAGUACGCUGAGAAGAGAAAAUAUCACCCUUGGAACGGACUGUCACUAACCAAAUUCAUGGAAGGAUAUAUAAAUGAGAUGCCAUUUAUGAAUUUACAUUUCAACUGCCAACAAAAGUAAAUACUCCUGUCCAGUGAGCAGUGGAUGUGUGCAUCUACACUGAAAGAUAUAUUGCUAUAAUAUUGCCUGGUGAGUAUGGACACAAAGAGAGAAUGAUCUUUAUGUUGGUAUCAUCAAGUAAUGGCC
Molecule: long non-coding RNA, 698 nt
Filed under: Capra hircus (goat)
Lineage: Eukaryota; Metazoa; Chordata; Mammalia; Artiodactyla; Bovidae
Description: lncRNA (ENSCHIG00000005637.1)
Source: RNAcentral